GGUCAUGAGUGCCAGCGCCAAACCCCGGUUCGCUGGCCGGCAACCCUCCGCCGCGGUGGGGUGCCCCGGGUGAAGACCUGGGCCGGCGAGAGCCGCCGGUCAAGCGCAGCGC
Molecule: non-coding RNA, 112 nt
Filed under: Sinomonas atrocyanea
Lineage: Bacteria; Bacillati; Actinomycetota; Actinomycetes; Micrococcales; Micrococcaceae
Description: SAM-IV sequence
Rfam family: SAM (S-adenosyl methionine) riboswitch aptamer
About the family: SAM-IV is a mRNA element that regulates gene expression via direct sensing of S-adenosylmethionine (SAM or AdoMet). SAM-IV riboswitches share conserved nucleotide positions with the previously described SAM-I riboswitches sequence analysis and molecular recognition experiments suggest that SAM-I and SAM-IV riboswitches share similar ligand binding sites, but have different scaffolds.
Source: Rfam by way of RNAcentral